GCAGUCGAACGCUUCUUUUUCCACCGGAGCUUGCUCCACCGGAAAAAGAAGAGUGGCGAACGGGUGAGUAACACGUGGGUAACCUGCCCAUCAGAAGGGGAUAACACUUGGAAACAGGUGCUAAUACCGUAUAACAAUCAAAAUCGCAUGGUUUUGAUUUGAAAGGCGCUUUCGGGUGUCGCUGAUGGAUGGACCCGCGGUGCAUUAGCUAGUUGGUGAGGUAACGGCUCACCAAGGCCACGAUGCAUAGCCGACCUGAGAGGGUGAUCGGCCACAUUGGGACUGAGACACGGCCCAAACUCCUACGGGAGGCAGCAGUAGGGAAUCUUCGGCAAUGGACGAAAGUCUGACCGAGCAACGCCGCGUGAGUGAAGAAGGUUUUCGGAUCGUAAAACUCUGUUGUUAGAGAAGAACAAGGAUGAGAGUAACUGUUCAUCCCUUGACGGUAUCUAACCAGAAAGCCACGGCUAACUACGUGCCAGCAGCCGCGGUAAUACGUAGGUGGCAAGCGUUGUCCGGAUUUAUUGGGCGUAAAGCGAGCGCAGGCGGUUUCUUAAGUCUGAUGUGAAAGCCCCCGGCUCAACCGGGGAGGGUCAUUGGAAACUGGGAGACUUGAGUGCAGAAGAGGAGAGCGGAAUUCCAUGUGUAGCGGUGAAAUGCGUAGAUAUAUGGAGGAACACCAGUGGCGAAAGCGGCUCUCUGGUCUGUAACUGACGCUGAGGCUCGAAAGCGU
Molecule: ribosomal RNA, 733 nt
Filed under: uncultured bacterium
Lineage: Bacteria
Description: bacterial SSU rRNA
Rfam family: Bacterial small subunit ribosomal RNA
Source: RNAcentral